UCCAAAACAUCUAUCUCUAGUUUUAGAAAAGGGAUUGCGGGUGUAUAUUUAUUGUUUACUCAGUGGUAGAUCAUAACAUUCUACUUCUGUGAAGUAAGUUAUGAAAUCACAGUUGUGAUGAGAACACAUAAUUCAUUUCAAAUCAAAGCCAAGUGGCACAUAUACCUUUCUUCAUAAAGUGAUGUGCUUUAUAAUGAUUUACAUGGAGUUAGUGAGAUAUGACUAGCAAUGAAUCAGAGGCUGCUAGGAAAAUUUCUGUAUCACUAAAAGUAAUUACCUAUCUCUGAAUCUCAUCCCCUUAUCUUGGGUACUGAAACACAAUAACUUCUUGAGUAAUCUCAUCUUUAUUAAUGCUGUGGUUUGUGUACAUGCAAUUAAAGCAUUCUCAAGGUAAGAUUGUUCUUUAUUCCUUAGUCAAGAACUCACCAUGGUAGUGCGUGACUAUUAUUCUUUUGCUGUUAACUCGUAUGUUUCAAACUUGAACUUCUCUCCCACACCUCCAUCUACUCCUUUCCAACUUCCUGUUGUGGAUUUACACUUACAUACACUGUCGUCGCAUCCCGCUAUGCUUGCCUGGAAAGGAAUUAAUCACCUUUCCUCCCAGUCUAGCCUACCUCUUUUGGUAAACAACACUAUUACAGCCCUCAAAAAGAAAUUUUUCAAAAAUUGAAACCACUCUUUUACUCACUCACAUCAAACCAAUCCAUUACCACCUUUCACUGAUAACCUUUGGGCUUUUCACCUCCGUCUUCUGCUCUUAUCAGUAUCUCCCUAGUUCCAGGACUUUAUUACAAACGCACAGUGAUAGCACUGCUUCCGGUUUCUUUCCUUGUUAAUCUACCCAUAUGAAUCAACAAAAUACUUUUUUCAAAAACACUAAGUAAUUUCAUUGUCCUACCCCUAAACACUAAAUGUUUCCCACUAUCUUCAUAACUGAAGAAAAAUAUUUCUGUCUGGAAUUCAAAUCUUUCUGUAACUUGGCACUAAUAAUUUUCCCAAAUGUACCACCCUUCACCGGCUCGUACUAAGUCUGGUUUCUUUUUACUGCUCUUGAAAACUUAUUUUUGACCCUCUUUCUGAGCAUUUUCUCAUCCUGUUUUACACAAAGAGGACUAUUCACCUCCACUUGAUAGCUCUUUCCAUGUUCAAAUGGAAUCGGAACUCCAUCACCUCAUAAAGCUGUCCGUAUGACUGUAAUAAAUCUGUACGAUAUCUUACACUUAGAUCAGUUCUACACACUUUGAUAGACCAUAAUAUUUGUGCUCACUUCAGCAGCACAUAUACUAAAAAAACAGAUCAUAAUAUUCUACGUGUACGGCUCUUUCAUUUUUCAUGUUUUGUUUUUGUCUUGCUAAUGGGAUUGUAACUUUCUUGAGGAAAAAUGCCAUAUUUUUACUCUGACGGUAUCCCAAAGAAUAUAACAUGAUGUUGAUUUUCUACUGAGAAUUGCUACUGCUUCAAAGUUAAGAAUGAAAAAAGAAUCCCGAGUCUUGCCAAUUGUAGGUCUCAGAAUUUCUGGGCAUCCAAAUCUGAUUGUGAAAUCCUGGAGAGAAAGAAGUCUUCAAGGUAAAUGCUUUCUUAUGGACAUUCUUGGCCACCAGCCAUUUGGCCACUUCUAGUAAUACUGGAAAUCAGUAGAUACUACCUUGGUAUUUGAUAUUUAGACAAUAAACAUUCAGUUACCACCCUC
Molecule: long non-coding RNA, 1690 nt
Organism: Felis catus (domestic cat)
Lineage: Eukaryota; Metazoa; Chordata; Mammalia; Carnivora; Felidae
Exons: 3
Source: RefSeq, a predicted model, not a curated record